CCUACGGGAGGCAGCAGUGAGGAAUAUUGGUCAAUGGGCGCUAGUCUGAACCAGCCAAGUAGCGUGAAGGAUGACUGCCCUAUGGGUUGUCAACUUCUUUUAUAUGGGAAUAAAGUGCAGUAUGUAUACUGCUUUUCAUGUACCUUAUGAAUAAGGAUCGGCUAACUCCGUGCCAGCAGCCGCGGUAAUACGGAGGAUCCGAGCGUUAUCCGGAUUUAUUGGGUUUAAAGGGAGCGUAGGCGGGUUGUUAAGUCAGUUGUGAAAGUUUGCGGCUUAACCGUAAAAUUGCAGUUGAUACUGGCAUCCUUGAGUACAGUAGAGGUAGGCGGAAUGCGUGGUGUAGCGGUGAAAUGCUUAGAUAUCACGAAGAACUCCGAUUGCGAAGGCAGCCUGCUGGACUGUAACUGACGCUGAUGCUCGAAAGUGUGGGUAUCAAACAGGAUUAGAUACCCUUGUAGUC
RNAcentral lists this ribosomal RNA (460 nucleotides) under uncultured bacterium. RNAcentral describes it as "partial 16S ribosomal RNA". It matches the Rfam family "Bacterial small subunit ribosomal RNA", at positions 338 to 795 of the family's 1533-position model. The record is from RNAcentral.